Molecule: ribosomal RNA, 339 nt
Filed under: uncultured Pseudomonadota bacterium
Lineage: Bacteria; Pseudomonadati; Pseudomonadota
Description: bacterial SSU rRNA
Rfam family: Bacterial small subunit ribosomal RNA
Source: RNAcentral
AACUAACGCUGGCGGCGUGCCUAACACAUGCAAGUCGUACGAGAAAGUCCGCUUCGGUGGAUAAGUAAAGUGGCGCACGGGUGAGUAACGCGUGGAUAAUCUACCCCUCAGUUGGGAAUAACGCACCGAAAGGUGCGCUAAUACCGGAUAAUACUGCAUGACUACUGUUGUGCAGUCAAAGAUGGCCUCUGCUUGCAAGCUUUCGCUGAAGGAUGAGUCCGCGUACCAUUAGCUAGUUGGUAGGGUAAUGGCCUACCAAGGCAACGAUGGUUAGCUGGUCUGAGAGGAUGAUCAGCCACACUGGAACUGAGACACGGUCCAGACUCCUACGGGAGGCAG